Molecule: ribosomal RNA, 253 nt
Filed under: uncultured bacterium
Lineage: Bacteria
Description: partial 16S ribosomal RNA
Rfam family: Bacterial small subunit ribosomal RNA
Source: RNAcentral
UACGUAGGGGGCAAGCGUUGUCCGGAUUUAUUGGGCGUAAAGAGCGUGUAGGCGGCUUUGCAAGUCCGUUGUGAAAACUCGAGGCUCAACCUCGAGACGCCGGUGGAAACUGCAAAGCUAGAGUCCGGAAGAGGAGAUUGGAAUUCCCGGUGUAGCGGUGAAAUGCGCAGAUAUCGGGAAGAACACCCGUGGCGAAGGCGGUUCUCUGGGACGGUACUGACGCUGAGACGCGAAAGCGUGGGGAGCGAACAGG